AUUGAACGCUAGCGGGAUGCCUUACACAUGCAAGUCGAACGGAGUGGCGAAAGGGUGAGUAAUGUAUCGGAACGUGCCCAGUAGCGGGGGAUAACUACGCGAAAGCGUAGCUAAUACCGCAUACUUUUGGAGCGGACGAUAUAGGAUUAGCUAGUUGGUGGGGGAAAGGCGAACCAAGGCGACGAUCCGUAUCUGGUUUGAGAGGCCGACCAGCCACACUGCGCCUGAGACACGGCCCAGACUCCUACGGGAGGCAGCAGUGGGGAAUUUUGGACAAUGGGGGAAACCCUGAUCCAGCCAUCCCGCGUGUGCGAUGAAGGCCUUCGGGUUGUAAAGCACUUUUGGCAGGAAAGCGGUACCUGCAUAGUAAGCACCGGCUAACUACGUGCCAGCAGCCGCGGUAAUUC
This 407-nucleotide ribosomal RNA is filed under the name uncultured bacterium. RNAcentral's name for it is "partial 16S ribosomal RNA". It matches the Rfam family "Bacterial small subunit ribosomal RNA", at positions 30 to 526 of the family's 1533-position model. The record is from RNAcentral.